This 279-nucleotide unclassified non-coding RNA is filed under the name plant metagenome. Its description in RNAcentral is "partial contains small subunit ribosomal RNA, internal transcribed spacer 1, and 5.8S ribosomal RNA". The record is from RNAcentral.
UUUCCGUAGGUGAACCUGCGGAAGGAUCAUUAACAAUAUGUGUUCUAUGGCACUUUACCUAACACACAUUCACCUUGUGUGCAAUGUUAGGGUUGACUAUUCUCUCGAGAGGAUCAACCCUAAAGAUCAAUUAUAUCUCAACUUUCUGUCUGCAUAAUAUUAUGAAUAAUACAAAUCUAAAAAUAAACUUCAAUAACGGAUAUCUUGGCUAUUACAUCGAAGAAGAACGUAGAAGAACGGAACAGCACAUGCUUGCAUCCAUGUCACCAUACGAGAUCC